Molecule: ribosomal RNA, 492 nt
Filed under: uncultured bacterium
Lineage: Bacteria
Description: partial 16S ribosomal RNA
Rfam family: Bacterial small subunit ribosomal RNA
Source: RNAcentral
GAUGAACGCUAGCUACAGGCUUAACACAUGCAAGUCGAGGGGAAACGACAUCGAAAGCUUGCUUUUGAUGGGCGUCGACCGGCGCACGGGUGAGUAACGCGUAUCCAACCUGCCCAUCACUUGGGGAUAACCUUGCGAAAGUAAGACUAAUACCCAAUGAUAUCUCUAGAAGACAUCUGAAAGAGAUUAAAGAUUUAUCGGUGAUGGAUGGGGAUGCGUCUGAUUAGCUUGUUGGCGGGGUAACGGCCCACCAAGGCAACGAUCAGUAGGGGUUCUGAGAGGAAGGUCCCCCACAUUGGAACUGAGACACGGUCCAAACUCCUACGGGAGGCAGCAGUGAGGAAUAUUGGUCAAUGGGCGAGAGCCUGAACCAGCCAAGUAGCGUGCAGGAAGACGGCCCUAUGGGUUGUAAACUGCUUCUAUAAGGGAAUAAAGUGAGAGUCGUGACUCUUUUUGUAUGUACCUUAUGAAUAAGGACCGGCUAAUUCCGUG